GCAAACACACUGAGCGCUUCAGCUUGUGUUAGCUUGAUUCUGCACGUUGGCGUCUGGGUUUUCCGGUUCGGCCGCCCGAGGGCAGUUGGAGCUGGAUUUGCUCCGGCUGGGCUCCGCUGUGUUCUGCUUGCACCCCACCGCGCUGUCCCGCACCAAACACCCGCACACGAGCCUGUAAAACGCCCGGCGCAUUUCCCUGCUGGCCAGCGUGUAGAUGACGGGAUUCAUGGCCGAAUUCAAGACGGCCAGCCCGAUGAACCAAUCAGCGUAGAGCAGAAACGGGCACUUUUGGGUCUCGCAGGCCACGUCGACGAGGAGCAGCACGAAAAUGGGCGUCCAGCAGGCGAUGAAGACGCCCACCACGAUGCUGACGGUGCGCAGGAGGGCCAUAGAGUGCUCACAGUUGCUGUGCUUGGUGACUUUGCGGCUGCUGCUCUUGACCAGGAUGUAAAUGCGGGCGUAGAGGAUGGAGAUGGCCAGCAGGAGCGAGAUGAAGAUGGUGAUGCAGAACGCGACGUAGCUCUUGCUGUAAAGAGAAGCGACUGGCAGUGACUCACUGCGCUCAGCCCGCAGAUUUCAGAGGCGAGUAAUGGAAACAUCCCAGAAGAGAGCGAGAGACUGCCAAGAGCAGCCAGCAGCAGACCAGAGCAAGUCACACACAGUGAGCUCAGCUGACAUUCAGAUGAAGCUGCGGUGAAGGCCUGAUCUCUGCUGACGUGUGUGAGCUGCUCUGAAAGUGUGUGUUUAGCAUUUAUACGCCACAGAACGAGUCAAAGUUGAGUGCUCUGCUGUUCUUCUUGUUGUUUUCACUGAUCCUGGAUCACAUGAGUAUAAUGUGUCUGUAUUAUGUCUAAUUUAGUCAUAUUUAGCAAUACAACAUUCAGUUUAAUGGGUGAUUCUAAUCAAAACGGGUGUCAAGGUAACAUAUACUGUAUUUAUCUUUAUUUGGUCCAACUAUCUAUCUAUCUAUCUAUCUAUAUCUAUAUCUAUAUCACACACAAACAAAAUACAGGUGAAAAUCAAUAAAAAUCAAUAUGGAAAAAAAAUUGAUGCA
Molecule: long non-coding RNA, 1054 nt
Organism: Cyprinus carpio (common carp)
Lineage: Eukaryota; Metazoa; Chordata; Actinopteri; Cypriniformes; Cyprinidae
Source: Ensembl